RNAcentral lists this ribosomal RNA (468 nucleotides) under uncultured bacterium. Its description in RNAcentral is "partial 16S ribosomal RNA". It matches the Rfam family "Bacterial small subunit ribosomal RNA", at positions 28 to 507 of the family's 1533-position model. The record is from RNAcentral.
GACGAACGCUGGCGGCGUGCUUAACACAUGCAAGUCGAACGGAAAGGCCCUGCUUUUGUGGGGUGCUCGAGUGGCGAACGGGUGAGUAACACGUGAGUAACCUGCCCUUGACUUUGGGAUAACUUCAGGAAACUGGGGCUAAUACCGGAUAGGAGCUCCUGCUGCAUGGUGGGGGUUGGAAAGUUUCGGCGGUUGGGGAUGGACUCGCGGCUUAUCAGCUUGUUGGUGGGGUAGUGGCUUACCAAGGCUUUGACGGGUAGCCGGCCUGAGAGGGUGACCGGCCACAUUGGGACUGAGAUACGGCCCAGAGUCCUACGGGAGGCAGAAGUGGGGAAUAUUGCACAAUGGGCGGAAGCCUGAUGCAGCAACGCCGCGUGCGGGAUGACGGCCUUCGGGUUGUAAACCGCUUUCGCCUGUGACGAAGCGUGAGUGACGGUAAUGGGUAAAGAAGCACCGGCUAACUACGUG